RNAcentral lists this ribosomal RNA (287 nucleotides) under uncultured Bacillus sp. Its description in RNAcentral is "partial 16S ribosomal RNA". It matches the Rfam family "Bacterial small subunit ribosomal RNA", at positions 1095 to 1382 of the family's 1533-position model. Lineage: Bacteria; Bacillati; Bacillota; Bacilli; Caryophanales; Bacillaceae. The record is from RNAcentral.
AGCGCAACCCCUACGUUUAGUUGCUAACGCGUGAAGGCGAGCACUCUAGACGAACUGCCGUUGACAAAACGGAGGAAGGUGGGAUGACGUCAAAUCAUCAUGCCCCUUAUGUUCUGGGCUACACACGUGCUACAAUGGCCGGUACAGACGGACGCAAAGCCGCGAGGUGGAGCAAAUCCUAAAAAGCCGGUCUCAGUUCGGAUUGCAGGCUGCAAUUCGCCUGCAUGAAGUCGGAAUCGCUAGUAAUCGCAGGUCAGCAUACUGCGGUGAAUACGUUCCCGGGCCUU